RNAcentral lists this transfer RNA (67 nucleotides) under Eclectus roratus (Eclectus parrot). RNAcentral describes it as "tRNA-Cys". The record is from RNAcentral. Lineage: Eukaryota; Metazoa; Chordata; Aves; Psittaciformes; Psittacidae.
GGCUCUGUGGUGAAGUUCAUGUUGAGUUGCAAGCUCAUCGAUAUGUGUUUAAGACGCAUCAGAGUCU